CCGACCUGCAUCACCCUGCUGGAAAUCCUCAUGGUAGGCCCCAUGUGGGGGUGGGUGGUGGCAUGGUUGGCUCUCAGCACACCUGUCCCACCUGCUGAAAAAGAGCUCAAAACCCAAACUCUGGGGGCCUUCACUUUAGGAGACGUAGGAGAUAAGCAACCAAUUUUAACACACGAGCCUAAUUUAGAUUCUAACUCAAAUGUAAACACAACAACAACAGUUUAUGGGUCAACUGGGAAGAUGUGAAACUGCUUGGUUAUUUCAUGAUAUUAAGGAAUGACUGUUAAUUGUUUUAAAGUGUGAUAAUGGUAAUGUUAUCAUGUUUUCUAGAAGAGGGUCCUUAAGUUUAGAGAUACACACUGAAACUCUAACAGAUGACAUGCUGUCUGGGACUGUUUCAGAAUCACCCUGGGGUUAGGAAGUGGGCAGGGUGCAGGUGAGAGAGUGGACGGAACCAAGAUCGGCUAUGAGAUGGUAAUUGUUGAACUCUGGGUGAAGGGAAGAUGGAGCUUCAUGAAAAACACUCUUUAUUUUUGCAUAUCUUUGAAAAUUGCCAUAAAAAAACCUUCUAAUGGUAAAAUUUCAGUCAUUAGUGGUGGGGAAAAUAGAACCACAAAAUGUCAGGGUCAGGGGAAACCUUUGGGCUCACUUAAUUCAAUCUUCUGCAGAAAGAAUGAGAUAAGCUGUCAAACCUGGAUUUUCACAAGGCUGCUCCUGCAAGGCUGUGUAGGCUGCACACUGCCCAACUCCAGGGGUGCCUUGCACCUGAACAGCAGUAGGAACAGUACCCUCUGAGGCUGUGUGUAGUGGGCCGGGGGAUUUUUGGUCCCUUAUGAGGCUCAAAGAUACCUUCUACCCUAUGUUCUCAUGUCAAAGGAGCAAAAUAAAAAUCCCUUUAAUAUCAUUUUCUACACAAAAGUAAGACAGACUACAAACCAUUAUGUGCCAGACUUGAUCAUUAUACCAUGAAGUAAAUAUGAGAAAUAAUAAGAUCAAAAAUAAUCUUUUAAUUAACUCAUGUCUAUUGGAAAAUAUAUUAAUCUUAUUUAUUUAUUUAUUUAUUUUGUAGAAACAGGGUCUUGCCAUGUUGCCCAGGCUGGUCUCAAACUCCUGAGCUCAAGUGAUCCUCCUGCCUUAGGCUCCCGAAGUGCUGAGGUUGCAGGCAUGAACCACAAUACCCAGACUAAUCUUUUAUUAUCUGCCUCAGCACUAAAAAAAAUCACAGAUGAUCAAAAAAGUAUUUUUAUAAUAAAUUACAUUUGUUUUAAACUUGUACCUAAUGGUGAGUACUCACAGACACAAGUUGCAGCUAUUCAAUGGUCAUGUAUUUUGGUUCAUAUCAAUGUCCAAGAUGAAUCAGGAAUGUUAAAAAAAAACCACUUUCUCAUUACAUAUUUGUUGGGUAUUUACUAUAUGCCAGGCACUGCUGGAUCUUGGGCAAAUGGACAGCCAAUGUCUUUCCUGCCUUUAUGGACUCUAGAGUCUAGUGGCCUGGACAGACAUAAACAAGAAAAGACAUACAAAGAAAUAGGCAGUCAAAAAUUGUAGUAAGUGCUAUAAUGGAAAAGAACAGAGGAAAUAAUGAAGUAGAAGGCUCAUUUAGAUCAUGAGGGUCAGGGUAGGCCUACCUGAUGAAGUCUCAAAAACGGCCAAGGACCAUGGCUAUUUGCACACUUCCACUGCUUCCCCACUUCAUUCCCUUCUCCUGUUGCUCUUCGAACAAAUACUUGCCCAGGGACUCACUGUCUUACCUCAGCAUCCCUCCCUCCCAACCCAUCCCCUCCAAGCUCAGCCCUACUCUCUGUGACCCUGAGAAGUCUGAGAGCUGGUAUCUCUAAUCAAGGACAAAACAGGAGCCAGUACAGCCCUGGGCCCCAGAGAGAGGGCAGCAUGAAGCCCUUGGUCUGGUCCUCACACAGGCUCUCACUCCUGUUAUGACCUUGG
Molecule: long non-coding RNA, 1944 nt
Filed under: Homo sapiens (human)
Lineage: Eukaryota; Metazoa; Chordata; Mammalia; Primates; Hominidae
Description: non-protein coding lnc-CAPRIN2-2:14
Source: RNAcentral